CCCGAUUGAUGCCUGGGCUUGAACCAU
This 27-nucleotide non-coding RNA is filed under the name Homo sapiens (human). The record is from RNAcentral. Lineage: Eukaryota; Metazoa; Chordata; Mammalia; Primates; Hominidae.